Molecule: non-coding RNA, 66 nt
Organism: Trichonephila inaurata madagascariensis
Lineage: Eukaryota; Metazoa; Arthropoda; Arachnida; Araneae; Nephilidae
Source: the annotation of a GenBank genome assembly
GUCCCUGUAGCGCAAUGGAUAGCGCGUUGGACUUCUAACCCAAAGAUUCGAUUCCUACCUGGGAUG